CAAGUCGAGCGAAGCACUUAUUUCUGAUUACUUCGGUUUGAAGAGAUCUGUGACUGAGCGGCGGACGGGUGAGUAACGCGUGGGAAACCUGCCCUGAUCCGGGGGAUAACAGUUGGAAACGACUGCUAAUACCGCAUAAGCGCACGGAAUCGCAUGAUUCAGUGUGAAAAACUCCGGUGGAUCAGGAUGGUCCCGCGUCCGAUUAGCCAGUUGGCGGGGUAACGGCCCACCAAAGCGACGAUCGGUAGCCGACCUGAGAGGGCGACCGGCCACAUUGGGACUGAGACACGGCCCAAACUCCUACGGGAGGCAGCAGUGGGGAAUAUUGCACAAUGGGCGAAAGCCUGAUGCAGCGACGCCGCGUGAGUGAAGAAGUAUUUCGGUAUGUAAAGCUCUAUCAGCAGGGAAGAAAAUGACGGUACCUGCACAAGAAGCCCCGGCUAACUACGUGCCAGCAGCCGCGGUAAUACGUAGGGGGCAAGCGUUAUCCGGAUUUACUGGGUGUAAAGGGAGCGUAGAUGGAAUGGCAAGUCAGAUGUGAAAGGCAUGGGCUCAACCCGUGGACUGCAUUUGAAACUGUCAAUCUGGAGUGUCGGAGGGGCAAGCGGAAUUCCUGGUGUAGCGGUGAAAUGCGUAGAUAUCAGGAGGAACACCGGUGGCGAAGGCGGCUUGCUGGACGAUUACUGACAUUGAGGCUCGAAAGCGUGGGGAGCAAACAGGAUUAGAUACCCUGGUAGUCCACGCGGUAAACGAUGAAUACUAGGUGCUGGGUGCCACAGGCAUUCGGUGCCGCCGCUAACGCAUUAAGUAUUCCACCUGGGGAGUACGUUCGCAAGAAUGAAACUCAAAGGAAUUGACGGGGACCCGCACAAGCGGUGGAGCAUGUGGUUUAAUUCGAAGCAACGCGAAGAACCUUACCACAGUGCUUGACAUCUCGCGCAUGACUCGUGCUCUGGAAGACUAGGACUUCUCUUCGGAGCGAGGGAUGACAGGUGGUGCAUGGUUGUCGUCAGCUCGUGUCGUGAGAUGUUGGGUUAAGUCCCGCAACGAGCGCAACCCUUAUGUUCAGUAGCCAGCGGUUCGGCCGGGCACUCUGGGCAGACUGCCAGGGAUAACCUGGAGGAAGGCGGGGAUGACGUCAAAUCAUCAUGCCCCUUAUGAUUUGGGCUACACACGUGCUACAAUGGCGUUUAACAGAGGGAAGCAAACCCGCGAGGGGGAGCCAAUCCAAAAACAACGUCCCAGUUCGGACUGUAGUCUGCAACCCGACUACACGAAGCUGGAAUCGCUAGUAAUCGCGAAUCAGAAUGUCGCGGUGAAUACGUUCCCGG
Molecule: ribosomal RNA, 1331 nt
Filed under: uncultured bacterium
Lineage: Bacteria
Description: bacterial SSU rRNA
Rfam family: Bacterial small subunit ribosomal RNA
Source: RNAcentral